Long non-coding RNA from Polyodon spathula (Mississippi paddlefish), 986 nucleotides. RefSeq lists it as uncharacterized. The transcript has 3 exons. The record is from RefSeq and is a predicted model, not a curated record. NCBI's taxonomy places the organism in Eukaryota, Metazoa, Chordata, Actinopteri, Acipenseriformes, Polyodontidae.
CAACGAUGACAGACAGCACCAUGGAAAUACCAAAGCUGGUGGUAUAUUCCAGUGUUCGCCAAGAUAGCCGCCCCGUUACAUACGCUGCUGAGCAGGACUGCUGCCUUGGGAAAGAAAACGGCCAUAGUAGAAUGGACCCCACAAUGUCAGACCGCCUUUGAGGAGCUGAAGAUGGCGCUGGCUUCCUGGAGUCAUGAGACUCAAAUUGCCCCAGUACAGGCGGAACCUCUGGGUGAAGGAGGAGCACCCCCAUCCAUGGAGAACACUGAGACCCAAGUGUCCAACUUCCCGUGGGCUUCGAGUGGUAGAGAAAGGAUCCAGUCAUUCAGCUGGUUCAUACAUGGCGGGAACUAAGGAACCCCCCCCCCCCCCACCUCCAGAGGUUCAGACCCAUACUACAGCACAACCAGAGGCUCGGAGGUUGUUACAGGAGUGGGACCAGCUGUGUGUGUGGAAGGAGAUGUCCUAGUGAGGAAGGGAGUUGGAAUGACUACGGGAGAGGCCCGGAUAAAGAUUAUGGUUCCACGGUGCCAGUGCCACCGGGUUGGGAGGAGUACCACGAGGCUUUUGAACACGUCGCCAGUGCAAAGAUUCUGUUAGUGCUUCGACAGAGGUUCUACUGGUACAGCAUUGGGGAAGAUGCCAACCGAUGGACCACAGAGUGCCCCCAGUGUAUUUGUAACAAGGCCCGACCGGAGAGGAGAACCCCCCUUGUCUCUAUUGCCACUUCUUACCCUAUAGAGAUAGUGGUGAAUGAUUAUUUUUUCUUUAGACCAUGCUAGAGAUACUCCCCCUUAUACACUAGUCAUGGUCAACUUGAUUUCUAGAUUCACUGCGGCCAUACCCACUGACCACAGAAACAGCUCUAAGGAAAGUCAUAAUUCAGCCUUUUGGAUGUUCGGAGCAAAUCCACUUAGAACGUGGGGCCGCAUUCUAGCCAGAAUUGGUGCAAGAACUAAACUUGUAUGGCUUUUGGAAAAACUGCA